GAUGAACGCUGGCGGCGUGCCUAAUACAUGCAAGUCGAGCGACCGGACGAGAAGCUUGCUUCUCUGAUGUUAGCGGCGGACGGGUGAGUAACACGUGGAUACCCUACCUUUAAGACUGGGAUAACUUCGGGAAACCGGAGCUAAUACCGGAUAAUAUUUUGAACCGCAUGGUUCAAAAGUGAAAGACGGUCUUGCUGUCCCUUAUAGAUGGAUCCGCGCUGCAUUAGCUAGUUGGUAAGGUAACGGCUUACCAAGGCAACGAUGCGUAGCCGACCUGAGAGGGUGAUCGGCCACACUGGAACUGAGACACGGUCCAGACUCCUACGGGAGGCAGCAGUAGGGAAUCUUCCGCAAUGGGCGAAAGCCUGACGGAGCAACGCCGCGUGAGUGAUGAAGGUCUUCGGAUCGUAAAACUCUGUUAUUAGGGAAGAACAUAUGUGUAAGUAACUGUGCACAUCUUGACGGUACCUAAUCAGAAAGCCACGGCUAACUACGUG
RNAcentral lists this ribosomal RNA (497 nucleotides) under uncultured bacterium. RNAcentral describes it as "partial 16S ribosomal RNA". It matches the Rfam family "Bacterial small subunit ribosomal RNA", at positions 28 to 507 of the family's 1533-position model. The record is from RNAcentral.